AAAGGGUGCGUAGGAGGACAGGUAAGUCAGUGGUGAAAUCUCCGGGCUUAACUCGGAAACUGCCGUUGAUACUAUCUGUCUUGAAUACCGUGGAGGUGAGCGGAAUAUGUCAUGUAGCGGUGAAAUGCUUAGAUAUGACGUAGAACACCGAUUGCGAAGGCAGCUCACUACACGAAUAUUGACUCUGAGGCACGAAAGCGUGGGGAUCAAACAGGAUUAGAUACCCUGGUAGUCCACGCCCUAAACUAUGGAUACUCGACAUACGCGAUACACUGUGUGUGUCUGAGCGAAAGCAUUAAGUAUCCCACCUGGGAAGUACGACCGCAAGGUUG
Molecule: ribosomal RNA, 332 nt
Filed under: uncultured bacterium
Lineage: Bacteria
Description: bacterial SSU rRNA
Rfam family: Bacterial small subunit ribosomal RNA
Source: RNAcentral